UACGAAGGGGGCUAGCGUUGCUCGGAAUCACUGGGCGUAAAGGGCGCGUAGGCGGACUUUUAAGUCGGGGGUGAAAGCCCAGGGCUCAACCCUGGAAUUGCCUUCGAUACUGAGAGUCUUGAGUUCGGAAGAGGUUGGUGGAACUGCGAGUGUAGAGGUGAAAUUCGUAGAUAUUCGCAAGAACACCAGUGGCGAAGGCGGCUCACUGGCCCGAUACUGACGCUGAGGCACGAAAGCGUGGGGAGCAAACAGG
RNAcentral lists this ribosomal RNA (253 nucleotides) under uncultured bacterium. RNAcentral's name for it is "partial 16S ribosomal RNA". It matches the Rfam family "Bacterial small subunit ribosomal RNA", at positions 524 to 776 of the family's 1533-position model. The record is from RNAcentral.